Podarcis lilfordi (Lilford's wall lizard) is the source of this 71-nucleotide non-coding RNA. Lineage: Eukaryota; Metazoa; Chordata; Lepidosauria; Squamata; Lacertidae. The record is from the annotation of a GenBank genome assembly.
GGGAUGUAGCUCAGUGGUUUAGCAUGUGCUUUGCAUGCAGAAGGUCUCAGAUUCAAUUCCUACCAUCUCCA